AUGAACGCUGGCGGCGUGCCUAAUACAUGCAAGUCGAGCGAACGGACGAGAAGCUUGCUUCUCUGAUGUUAGCGGCGGACGGGUGAGUAACACGUGGAUAACCUACCUAUAAGACUGGGAUAACUUCGGGAAACCGUAGCUAAUACCGGAUAAUAUUUUGAACCGCAUGGUUCAAAAGUGAAAGACGGUCUUGCUGUCACUUAUAGAUGGAUCCGCGCUGCAUUAGCUAGUUGGUAAGGUAACGGCUUACCAAGGCAACGAUGCAUAGCCGACCUGAGAGGGUGAUCGGCCACACUGGAACUGAGACACGGUCCAGACUCCUACGGGAGGCAGCAGUAGGGAAUCUGCCGCAAUGGGCGAAAGCCUGACGGAGCAACGCCGCGUGAGUGAUGAAGGUCUUCGGAUCGUAAAACUCUGUUAUUAGGGAAGAACAUAUGUGUAAGUAACUGUGCACAUCUUGACGGUACCUAAUCAGAAAGCCACGGCUAACUACGUG
This 496-nucleotide ribosomal RNA is filed under the name uncultured bacterium. RNAcentral's name for it is "partial 16S ribosomal RNA". It matches the Rfam family "Bacterial small subunit ribosomal RNA", at positions 29 to 507 of the family's 1533-position model. The record is from RNAcentral.